ACAUACGACCAUAGGGUGUGGAAAGCAGGGCUUCCCGUCCGCUCAGCCGUACUUAAGCCACACGCCGGGAGGUUAGUAGUUGGGUAGAUAAUUAUCAGCGAAUCCCUUCUAUGAUAUAUU
Aspergillus luchuensis is the source of this 120-nucleotide non-coding RNA. The record is from Rfam. Lineage: Eukaryota; Fungi; Ascomycota; Eurotiomycetes; Eurotiales; Aspergillaceae.